RNAcentral lists this ribosomal RNA (257 nucleotides) under uncultured bacterium. RNAcentral describes it as "partial 16S ribosomal RNA". It matches the Rfam family "Bacterial small subunit ribosomal RNA", at positions 793 to 1055 of the family's 1533-position model. The record is from RNAcentral.
GUCCACGCCGUAAACGAUGGAUACUAGCUGUUGGGAGCAAUCUCAGUGGCUAAGCGAAAGUGAUAAGUAUCCCACCUGGGGGAUACGUUCGCAAGAAUGAAACUCAAAGGAAUUGACGGGGGCCCGCACAAGCGGUGGAGCAUGUGGUUUAAUUCGAUGAUACGCGAGGAACCUUACCAAGGCUUAAAUGUAGAUUGACAGAUUUUGGAAACAGAUUUUUCUUCGGACAAUUUACAAGGGUGCUGCAUGGUUGUCGU